RNA transcript from Brassica napus (rape), 1883 nucleotides. It is a transcript of the gene named ATP-dependent RNA helicase DEAH13-like, with no coding region annotated. The record is from RefSeq and is a predicted model, not a curated record. NCBI's taxonomy places the organism in Eukaryota, Viridiplantae, Streptophyta, Magnoliopsida, Brassicales, Brassicaceae. The transcript is spliced from 6 exons.
UUUUUGGCAAAAGAAAACCUUACGUCUUCAUCCGCCUCCCAUAGCCUUUUAGGGUUCAUCCUAUUGUUCGAUCUCCGACGACUUCUCUGACUCCAUGAAUGGAAGUCGGAGAGAUUUAGUGGCUCAAACCGAUGUAAUGAUGUGGUUCUCUCUCUGCUAUAAUUUUGUCUUUAAAUCGAUCCUCGCCUUCUUCUUCUUCUUCUUCUUCUUCUUUCAGUUUAUCGGCAAAGCAUGAAGGGGGACGAUUCGAUCUUAGAUAUAAUGCCUCCAAGGAAGAAGCAGAAUAAAGGACCCAACAAAAAACGGAAGCUGAAGAACCUUGAGGAAGACAGGGAGAAAGAGCUCCUCUCUGCAAAAACUUCCAAGUUGUUAGAUUUCUCUGCAGCAAGUAUAAAAUAUCUCAGGAUUUGUUUUCGCUUUUCCAAUCUUCAAAAGCCAUAGGUAGAUCUGAUAAGAAGCUGGAGAAACGCAUGAGACCAAUGCAACUAUCUAAACCUGGUGUUUUGUCUGAUGAACCAGUCAAGGAAAAUGACAACUCUGAUUCAUGUAUGGACGAGCCUACCACACCUGAAAUCCAUAUCCCGACUCUUCAUACUGAUUCUCACCAACUUAUUCAUCCCAAUGAACUCGAUUCCAAAGUAAUGAUAAUCUCUGCUGAAGAGGUCCGUGAAGAAGAAUGGUUUGUGAAUUUUUUUAAAAAAUUCGGCUAUGAUGUGUGUGUUUCGUUUGAUUGGUUAUUAUUUCUAGAAAACCGGUUGCUGUAAGACCACUCAAGUUCCUCAGCCACGUCGUGUUGCUGUCCUCGCCACUGCCGAUAGGGUGGCUCAUGAGCUUGGUGUUCACCUCAGUCAAGAAGUCGGUUUCCAAGUUAGGUGCGACAAAAAGAUUGGCGAGAACUCAGCUAUAAGUUUAUAAAUGAUGGGAUAAAUCCGUGAAGUUAAGUGAUUGCAGGCAACAUAGAUUUUAAAAGAUCUUUAAGCUACAGAGGCAUUCUUCAUACACCCACCAGUCAUCCUCUAACUUAUUUGGCUUCCUAAUUCCAUGUAACAUUUAUGUACGUACAUUUGCAUCUGUGAAAACAGAGUAUUUCUUCAUACAUGCGCCGGUCAUCUUCCAAUUUAUUUAGCUUCCUAAUUCCCCGAAACAUUUACGUACUCUGGAUUUUCUAAUCAUUAUAACAAUCGCGUAUUUAUUAUUCAGGUUCAGUUGAUAUAAUAUAUCCCUCCUGGUAAUAAGAUCUAGGGGAGCAGUGGCCAUGUGGUUGACGGAAUGAUGAUAUCUUGCAUAUUUCCAUUGUUUUAUCCAUUCUCUAAUGUGCAUUUUGAUUAUAUAGACUAGGAUUUAGCCAUGUUUAGGUUGCAUUUUGCAUACAUGAGUCUUUAUCAGGUAUUGGAGUACCACAUGGAGUUCUUGGAGACAUUUGGGUGCAUUUGGAGCUCAAAAGAGGUGAUAAAGGUGAUCAUUGGACGAGCAGUGCAUGAGAGCGACCUCACCGGAGCGACACCGUGAAGUCGCUGUGACACCCCUUCAGAGCGACUUGGCCAGAGCGACACCCCGAUGUCGCUCGCGUUUUUAUCUCUUGGAGAUACAAAAAUAGACCUGGAGCGACGUCCCUAGAGCGACUACCCCAAGUCGCUCCUGAAGCCCGGAGCGAUGUGUGGGAGCGACUAUCCGAGGUCGCUGCGCGUCGUUUCUUUGGUCGAACUUAUGUUUUAUCAAGGGCCUUUUGGUCAUUUUAUUAUGCACGUUUUAUACUUUGAAAACCUAUGUUUAAGUAUCUUUUGUAAGCCAUUAGGGGCAGAAUAUCUUUUAUCAAAAGAAAACCACAAAAACCUCUUGGAAAGUUCAUCUCUUUGAAUCAAUUGAUCAUUUUGUUAUUGCAA